UCUACCUCUUACUAAGGGAUAGCCCAGAGAAAUUUGGAUUAAUAUCUUAUAGUAUGUUAACUUGGCAUCAAGAUAACAUUAAAGGUUACGGUAAGAGAUGACUAUGCGUCCUAUUAGCUAGAUGGUGUGGUAACGGCACACCAUGGCAACGAUAGGUAGGGGCCCUGAGAGGGGGAUCCCCCACACUGGUACUGAGACACGGACCAGACUCCUACGGGAGGCAGCAGUGAGGAAUAUUGGACAAUGGAGGCAACUCUGAUCCAGCCAUGCCGCGUGCAGGAAGACUGCCCUAUGGGUUGUAAACUGCUUUUAUACAGGAAGAAACACUCUCACGUGUGAGAGCUUGACGGUACUGUAAGAAUAAGGAUCGGCUAACUCCGUGCCAGCAGCCGCGGUAAUACGGAGGAUCCAAGCGUUAUCCGGAAUCAUUGGGUUUAAAGGGUCCGUAGGUGGAUAAUUAAGUCAGAGGUGAAAUCCUGCAGCUCAACUGUAGAAUUGCCUUUGAUACUGGUUGUCUUGAGUUAUUAUGAAGUAGUUAGAAUAUGUAGUGUAGCGGUGAAAUGCAUAGAUAUUACAUAGAAUACCAAUUGCGAAGGCAGAUUACUAAUAAUAUACUGACACUGAUGGACGAAAGCGUGGGGAGCGAACAGGAUUAGAUACCCUGGUAGUCCACGCCGUAAACGAUGGUCACUAGCUGUUCGAACUUCGGUUUGAGUGGCUAAGCGAAAGUGAUAAGUGACCCACCUGGGGAGUACGUUCGCAAGAAUGAAACUCAAAGGAAUUGACGGGGGCCCGCACAAGCGGUGGAGCAUGUGGUUUAAUUCGAUGAUACGCGAGGAACCUUACCAGGGCUUAAAUGUAAAUUGACAGGUUUAGAAAUAGACUUUUCUUCGGACAAUUUACAAGGUGCUGCAUGGUUGUCGUCAGCUCGUGCCGUGAGGUGUCAGGUUAAGUCCUAUAACGAGCGCAACCCCUGUUGUUAGUUGCCAGCGAGUCAUGUCGGGAACUCUAACAAGACUGCCAGUGCAAACUGUGAGGAAGGUGGGGAUGACGUCAAAUCAUCACGGCCCUUACGUCCUGGGCUACACACGUGCUACAAUGGUAGGGACAGAGAGCAGCCACUGGGUGACCAGGAGCGAAUCUAUAAACCCUAUCACAGUUCGGAUCGGAGUCUGCAACUCGACUCCGUGAAGCUGGAAU
RNAcentral lists this ribosomal RNA (1200 nucleotides) under Olleya sp. MAR_2010_37. Its description in RNAcentral is "bacterial SSU rRNA". It matches the Rfam family "Bacterial small subunit ribosomal RNA", at positions 125 to 1332 of the family's 1533-position model. Lineage: Bacteria; Pseudomonadati; Bacteroidota; Flavobacteriia; Flavobacteriales; Flavobacteriaceae. The record is from RNAcentral.